This 300-nucleotide ribosomal RNA is filed under the name uncultured Paenibacillus sp. Its description in RNAcentral is "bacterial SSU rRNA". The stretch from base 53 to 300 matches the Rfam family "Bacterial small subunit ribosomal RNA", at positions 548 to 795 of the family's 1533-position model. The record is from RNAcentral. Lineage: Bacteria; Bacillati; Bacillota; Bacilli; Caryophanales; Paenibacillaceae.
GAGUGAUUAGGGCGUGGAGGCGGGGGAAGACGGAGGGUGAGAGCGUUAAUGUGAAUUACUGGGCGUAAAGGGUGCGCAGGCGGCCGCGCAAGUCGAGUGUGAAAGCCCCGGGCUUAACUUGGGAAUUGCGCUCGAAACUACGUGGCUGGAGUGUGGCAGAGGAAGGUGGAAUUCCACGUGUAGCGGUGAAAUGCGUAGAGAUGUGGAGGAACACCAAUGGCGAAGGCAGCCUUCUGGGCCAACACUGACGCUCAUGCACGAAAGCGUGGGGAGCAAACAGGAUUAGAUACCCUGGUAGUC